GGAGUUAGCCGGUGCUUCUUCUGCGAGUAACGUCACAGAUGUAAGGUAUUAACUUACACCCUUUCCUCCUCGCUGAAAGUGCUUUACAACCCGAAGGCCUUCUUCACACACGCGGCAUGGCUGCAUCAGGGUUUCCCCCAUUGUGCAAUAUUCCCCACUGCUGCCUCCCGUAGGAGUCUGGGCCGUGUCUCAGUCCCAGUGUGGCUGAUCAUCCUCUCAGACCAGCUAGGGAUCGUCGCCUAGGUGAGCCUUUACCUCACCUACUAGCUAAUCCCACCUGGGCUUAUCCAUCAGCGCAAGGCCCGAAGGUCCCCUGCUUUCCCCCGUAGGGCGUAUGCGGUAUUAGCAGUCGUUUCCAACUGUUAUCCCCCACAAAUGGGCAAAUUCCCAGGCAUUACUCACCCGUCCGCCGCUCGUCAUCUUCAAAGCAAGCUUUUGAAUGUUACCGCUCGACUUGCAUGUGUUAGGCCUGCCGCCAGCGUUCAAUCUGAGCCAGGAUCAAACUCUGA
This 509-nucleotide ribosomal RNA is filed under the name uncultured bacterium. RNAcentral describes it as "partial 16S ribosomal RNA". The record is from RNAcentral.